Molecule: ribosomal RNA, 403 nt
Filed under: uncultured bacterium
Lineage: Bacteria
Description: bacterial SSU rRNA
Rfam family: Bacterial small subunit ribosomal RNA
Source: RNAcentral
AACGAACGCUGGCGGCGCGCCUAACACAUGCAAGUCGAACGAGAAUCCGGGGCAACCCGGUAGUAAAGUGGCAAACGGGUGAGGAAUACAUGGGUAACCUACCCUUGAGAAGGGAAUAACCCGCCGAAAGGUGAGCUAAUACCCUAUACGCUAUCUUUUUUUCGAAAAGGAAUAGGAAAGACCGGGUCGAGGACCUGGUACUCAAGGAGGGGCGUCAUGUCCUAUCAGCUUGUUGGUGGGGUAACGGCCUACCAAGGCUACGACGGGUAGCUGGUCUGAGAGGAUGAUCAGCCACACUGGCACUGAGAUACGGGCCAGACUCCUACGGGAGGCAGCAGUGAGGAAUAUUGCGCAAUGGGCGAAAGCCUGACGCAGCGACGCCGCGUGGGGGAGUGAAGGUUUU